CUGCCACCCAUGUAAGAUAUGACUUGCUCCUCUUUGCCUUCUGCCAUGAUUAUGAGGCCUCUGCAGCCAUGUGGAACUGGAUCCUCAUGGAGUGGGACAGUCCUGCAAAUCCUGAAGAAAAAGUUGGCUCACGUCAUAGCCAAAUUCUAAGAUGGUGCCCAGUGAUCUCUGCCUCCCAAUAUUCAUGCCCUGUGUAGUCAUCUGCCAUAUUGAAUCAGGGCUGCCCCUUUGUGACCAAUCAGAUAUUAAGAAAAUGGAAAUGUGUGACUUCUGAGGUUAGAUGAAAAGCAUUGCUGCUCCUGCAAUGAUGGCUCCCUCCAAGGAAAGUCAGUCAUCAUGCUAUGAGGACUCUCAAGCAGUCCUGUGGAGAGUCCCAUGGGCAGAGGAGAUGAGGCCUCCAGCCAAUAGCCAGCAAGAACUUGCUGGCCAUGUGAGUGAACCACCUUGGAAACGUAGCCUCCAGCCACAGUCAAGCCUUCAGAUGAAACUGCAGCCCCAAGUGGCAUAUGAGUGCAACUGCAUGCAAAAUCUCAAGUGAGAAGCACCUAUCUA
RNAcentral lists this long non-coding RNA (552 nucleotides) under Homo sapiens (human). RNAcentral describes it as "HSALNT0068441". Lineage: Eukaryota; Metazoa; Chordata; Mammalia; Primates; Hominidae. The record is from RNAcentral.